AGAACGAACGCUGGCGGCAGGCCUAACACAUGCAAGUCGAACGCUCCGCAAGGGGAGUGGCAGACGGGUGAGUAACGCGUGGGAAUCUGCCCAAUGGUACGGAACAACCAAGGGAAACUUUGGCUAAUACCGUAUGUGCCCGAAAGGGGAAAGAUUUAUCGCCAUUGGAUGAGCCCGCGUCGGAUUAGCUAGUUGGUGAGGUAAAGGCUCACCAAGGCAACGAUCCGUAGCUGGUCUGAGAGGAUGAUCAGCCACACUGGGACUGAGACACGGCCCAGACUCCUACGGGAGGCAGCAGUGGGGAAUAUUGGACAAUGGGCGCAAGCCUGAUCCAGCCAUGCCGCGUGAGUGAUGAAGGCCCUAGGGUUGUAAAGCUCUUUCAGCGGGGAAGAUAAUGACGGUACCCGCAGAAGAAGCCCGGCUAACUUCGCGCCAGCAGCCGC
This 443-nucleotide ribosomal RNA is filed under the name uncultured bacterium. RNAcentral's name for it is "SSU rRNA". It matches the Rfam family "Bacterial small subunit ribosomal RNA", at positions 26 to 518 of the family's 1533-position model. The record is from RNAcentral.